Molecule: ribosomal RNA, 253 nt
Filed under: uncultured bacterium
Lineage: Bacteria
Description: partial 16S ribosomal RNA
Rfam family: Bacterial small subunit ribosomal RNA
Source: RNAcentral
UACGUAGGGUGCGAGCGUUAAUCGGAAUUACUGGGCGUAAAGCGUGCGCAGGCGGUUUUGUAAGUCAGAUGUGAAAUCCCCGGGCUUAACCUGGGAACUGCGUUUGAAACUACAAGGCUAGAGUGUGGCAGAGGGGGGUGGAAUUCCACGUGUAGCAGUGAAAUGCGUAGAGAUGUGGAGGAACACCGAUGGCGAAGGCAGCCCCCUGGGCCGACACUGACGCUCAGGCACGAAAGCGUGGGGAGCAAACAGG